Non-coding RNA from Oncorhynchus mykiss (rainbow trout), 352 nucleotides. The record is from RefSeq and is a predicted model, not a curated record. NCBI's taxonomy places the organism in Eukaryota, Metazoa, Chordata, Actinopteri, Salmoniformes, Salmonidae.
UUGCUUUUCAAUGACCAAACUCAGGAUCAACUUCAAGCGUUCCAAGAGAGGAAACAAAAAGGACUGCCAUUCAGUCCAGGAACAGACUGAAAUUCCCUCUACUGAUGCACAUUGCAUAGCUCCAGUUGGAGAGGUUUCUCCCUCCAUAUCUCAGCUUGUCAAAAAAAGAUCCUUGAUUGUCAGGGUCUUUUCAGCAAUAAUGAAGCCAUUCAGGCGCUUCACCAAGAACCUGUAACCUGUUACGCUGCAUGAAGAACUACUUUUGUAACAGCAAGACUUUUGACAAGAGGAAUUUCUGCAUGUCUACCCUUUCAAAGUCUAUUUGAUCAAAUAAAUGCCAAUGAUUUUACAA